Non-coding RNA from Coturnix japonica (Japanese quail), 14575 nucleotides. The record is from RefSeq and is a predicted model, not a curated record. Lineage: Eukaryota; Metazoa; Chordata; Aves; Galliformes; Phasianidae.
UGAUAAAACUAAUUGCCACAUUGCAGGCUUCAACAAACCCAUGCAGAGUAUGAGAAUUUAGAUGAUGAGAGCUAGCUGAAUUUCCUGCUGCUGUCAUAAUAUUACUGAUGUCUAAAUCAGCUAAGCAGAAGCUACAGGAGGGUGUUGGUUUAUGCCGGGCUGUAAUGCAGGCAAUCUCUUUGCACAAGUCAUCUUUUGCUGAGCAUCAGGAAGCUGGGUCUGUAGCUGGGUUGUUGUCUGUCUCUCUGCAAUAAGUUGGAGCUUCCUUUGGUGGAUUCUCUCAUUCAUGAGGACAGAUGCUGGUGAGAUAUUGACUUCAACAUGAUGUUACAGUGAUUCUUUGCAGUGACAGAUCAGAUGCAGUGGUUCAACCCAAGAUUAACACUGGCUCCACAGAGGCUUCUGGUUGGUAAUCUAUAUUUUGGCACUCAGAAGAGAGCAGCAGACUAAUCAGAAGAAGGACUUCCAGUGGUCAAUGAGAUUAGCAGUCAAAAUGCUGUGAUUCUGUGUGUGUGAUGAGGGGCAUAUCCUUUCAUUUCUCUGUAGCUUAGGUCUCUAUCACUAGGCAGCAAUUAACAUUCCCUUUGGUACUCUGAUAGAAGUGCUAUUCACUUUUCAGCUGACGUUUUAAGGGCACUCAUACCUUCGCUUUAGAUUCACGUGUGUGUCAAGGCAGCAUCAAGUUCUCACAUUCUCUCUUCACUUCUUGUAAGCUCCUCUACAGAGGAGAGCUUUUAGGGAAAGAAGUCACUCAACUUGUCUCUUUUUUGCCUUUAUCUACUGUCGUUUUCAACAAUGGAAACUUUCACAAGGAUUGCACCUACAAGGGAGCAAGAAGGAAAGAGGAUGCCUAUUAUGCCCAUUAUUGCCUAUUUCCAGGGGGAAAAACAUGAAGUGUACCUUUAAUAGAACUGAGUAUUGAUCCCUGGAAAAUGAACAACAAUUAUAAUAAAAUACAGACAACUACAAUCCCAGUGGUCACGUUGAAGGGGGAAAUGCUUCAUUCGCACCUCAUAAGAGCAUUCAGAACAUGAGUGGAGGGCAAAUUUCUUCCUCCGUCACUGGGCAAAAUAUCGAUGGAUGCAUCUCCAUUGCUGUUCUGGAACAAUGUGACCUGGAUUAGCUCAUGGAAUAGGAGAUCAGACCACAAUGAAGAGCACCCUGCUGCCUUAAGUAGGAGUUAAGAAAGUCAUAGUGGAGAAAGGACAGAAAAGUGUACAAGACCAAACGUACGUAGCUGUCAUUUCAAAUGUGCCUGUUUCAGGAACUCAAGGUCCUAUUUACAAUGGCGCUGAAGGACAAAGAGGAUCUCAAAGCAUUGCCUAAGGCUCUGCCAUUGUGGAAUGGUGUUCUGAUGCAUCCAAAAAUCCAUUUGGAACCUACCUGUAUUUUUAGCUGCCUUCCAUCCAGCACAGGAUUUUGGGGACUUUAAGACACAACCACACUGUGAUAACAGCUAGAUUCUUUAUGAUUCUGCUGUGCGGCAUGACAAACCCAAGUACACGCUGGCAUGUUUAACAAGGACAAGAUAAAGAGUGCCAGCACGAGUUAUGUUGGGAAGGAAUGAUGCAAGGUUCUGUUGCUGCGUUGCUUUCACACUUCCCAGCCUUUUGACCAAGCUGCACCACAGAAAUGUGAGAAACAUGUCAUUUGCUGGAGGGGUGAGGAAAUACUGCUAUUCUGAGCAAGAAAGAAUAAAGUCAGUCACUGAGCCAAUAUGUAGAUCACUGAAGAGUUUACAUAUUGUCAUCAAGUCUGGGUGCCAGGGCCUGAUGUCUUUGGUGGCACAUCAGCAACCUAAUUAGCAACUUGAAGUCAUCUCAGAAUUGAAACUAUUUGACACUCACUAAAAGGCUGAUACUUGACAUCUGGUUUGACAGGUUAUGAGGCAUCACAAAAAUGCUUUCACGAAUAAAGGACUUCAGUACAUCCACUACAGCCUACAAAAGACCCCGCUGUGAUCCUGGAGGUGAUGGGAUACCCAGGAAAAGCUGCAGCAAAGCAGAGUUUGGCCAUUCAUCCUCCAUGGACACUGAACAUGCUGCCACCUCAACCUUCAGGGCAGGAAACAACAUUUCUAAUUUCUUCACAAGCAUCAGUGGGCAUGAGAAAACAGAAGAGUACCAGUCCUGAUGUGACUCGGUUUCUCCAAGACUGAGGUAUAGUUUGGUAUCUGGUGCCAUUGAGACAGAGAAUAAUAUGCUGAGUAUUGAAGCACUUUACAACAGUUAUGAAAGAUGAGUCACUCUACUUAGCAGCUGUGACAGAGCAGUAAGGUCAUGCCAGUGUGCACCAGUUCACUUUACCAGAUAAUUUUUUUCCUUUGGGAAACUAAAGCAUUAAUGGUAAUCUUCUGCUUUUGGUGUAGAGAUGCUUUUACCACACUGCAGUAUAUGGAAAAGGCCACAUCUUCAAUGUCAUUGCUGCUUUUGUGCCCAGUGCUGUUCUGGAGAGCUUUGCUGUGGCAAAGACUUCAGAAUUUUGCCUCAAGUCAAUUGCUCUGCCAAGGGCUACCAACAAGAUGAGCAUGGAGGUCUGUUUAAUCCAGUAUCCUCACCUUCACCAUGGCCAAAAUCAGAAGGUGCAAAAACAUUUUCACUGUACUUGUGCGUCAACAAACUGUGAUCCUGGAAAAAUAACAAGAGACAUCUAUUAAAAGCUGGGGGCUUUCCAGUAAUGACUCCCGUAAACCUAUCACACCCAUUGAAACCAACUAGGCAUGCCAUUUAUUUGGUGUUUUGAUAAAUUAUAGCUCUGGGGUGCACCCAGGGCCAGAUUUUUAAAGCUGUUCAGCUGUUUAACUCUCAUUGAUUUCAGCAUAAUUGAUUUCAGUGGGAGUUAGGUGCCUGCACUGCUCCUCACUCUGGGCCAGUCCCUUCUAUGGUAACUGCACCAAUUAGGCAGGAGAGCAAUUUAUCCAGGGCCCCAUUAAAUAGAAUCAAUGGUGCCCAAUUACAUCUAAAUUAGCAGUUCAGCUACUCUGAUGGUUGAACAGGCUGCAUGGCUGCUGCCAUCCCACUGCCAUCACAAAUGACACAGGGAAUCUCUUCCAUUGUGUCCCAGUUACAGCAAGAGUCAUCCAGGAAUAACAUCCUGCUUCCUCACUCAACCCAUGAUGUUUUUCAUCCUCCCACCAGGUCAUUCUGACAUUGCAACAGACUAAUGGUGUAACGGCUACUAGGAAGGAAAGCAAGCUGAAUCCAAAUCUAAAUGAGUGGGGCUUACAUAAUUAGAGGGUGAGAGAAAGAGAAACUGGAAUCAGAGACAAAGUCUUUUCAAGGUUUCCAAGGCAGCAAGUGGCUGCUUCUCGUACAGCAUGCACCACAAUUGUGUUUUCAAUUCCACAGCAUCAGUUUUCUCUACAAUGAGGAGAAAAAACCCACUCUUUUGAAAUGCAAGUCAUUUGUAAUGUUAUGUGCAGAAGAUUCUGGUAUUGUGAUCUUCCACUUUUGCCCUGCAUUUAAUACUGAGGAUCAUUCAGCCAUGAUGGAACCAGCUGGAGGAAAUUCUCUCCUGCAAGACACGAAGGCCAAUGAUGGACAGUGCUCUCCUGAACCAUAACUCCCUGUGGUUAGUUCUUCCUGAGACCAAACUCCUGGUGCAUUUAAUGAGCUGUGUCACAAAGCAAGAAUGGCGCCAGGUCCAGAAACCUCUGAACAAGACUUCAGCCCAGCCAUUAAAUCCCAGAGUUAAAUUCUGAGUGCACUUCAUCCCUUCAAGCUGUGCCGUUCUGACUCCUCAGCACUCCUGGGGCCUUUGCGGGAUUUAAGAGCAUGGCACAAAAGGACACAUUUCCAGGGUGAAGAUUUAAUUUGAUUUUGGGCUGUGUGACUGCGGGUGGGCAGAAAAGCAAAUAAGAACUUCCUCCUGUCUCUACAUCAGUUCUGCUAAUCGGAGCUCUGCGUUUUUUACACCGCUCUGAUCAAAAUAGUCACUGAGUUCUUGAGAAGAAGCCAUGCAUCCCACAAGACCCUUGGUGCCCUCAGAUACUAACUGUGAAAAACAGAGUAUUUCUGUAGGACUGGAGCUCAGCGUACCAGCAUUAACUAAGUGGAGAGCAAAUGCUAUCAGCACAUAAGCAUGCUGUUAAAUCGUUGCACAGAAGAAUUCCAGUCUGGUUAAUCACAAUCUGAUUUUUUACUGCCCCUUCCAUGAAAGAAACAUGCCCAAAAGAUGAUUUUCAUCUUGUCAUAUCUAUUCUCAUCUAUAUUCCAGCCAAAGCUCGUUGAUCUUGGACUGUGUUACUAUGCACUGGGCUCAGGCAGUUUUUCAAGCAUUUGCAAAGAAUGUUUGUAAGCACCAACCCUCUUCCCCAGGGAUAACUGCUCCCUCAGCUUUGAUUUAAUACUGCCUGCAGUCAGGAGGCCACCCACAGACUUCCAGCUCUGUCUCACUUGCUUCAUUCCUACUUCAGCAUGAAGAGCAAGCAUGGGUGGAACAAGUAUGUAUGAAGACUGAUAGGAAGCCCAAGGUUGGCAUUUCCUUUCAGGACAUGUGCUGGGGAGGAAGCUGCUGAAGAGCCAUGGAGAAGUACCCCUCAUAUGCACAGCAAAUGCAGGUUUGAAUGCAAUGCAUUCCACCAGCACGCUCUUGGAGGAGCAACUUAGGUGGAGAUAAAUAAGACAUGUAAUUUCUUGUCAGACUGUUGCAUUUCCCACCGCUCGUUUUAACAAUUACACUCUGUGACUUUUUUAUUAAACAACUGAAAAGAUAGAUUAUUGUAGCCUGGGAAGAAAAAUUGCCUGGAGAGAUGAAACAUAUCCAGACUCUUUUUUUUUUUUUUCUUGCACUUUUCAAGGUGUUGCAAGGAAUGUGUUUUCAGUUCAGCACUCAGUAACCAGCGCUGUGGUUUUGGCACUUAUUACCAGGCUCACCUCUGCAACAGCCAACUUCUUAGAACCAAACCUGGGUGAAGCAGAAGGGCUGGUCUAAGCUGGGGCUUGGUUUGUUGCUGCAGGAAUCAUUAGAGUCCCACAUUUCUUUCAUGAGCAGCUUUCUUUAGGUCAUAUUUUUAAAGCAAUUAAUGAAAGAAGUGAUUGCCCUUGAGUGAGCAGUGCCCCAGUGUGAACUGUAAUCAAUGCUCCUCUUUGCACUGAUAUCUGUGCCAAUUAGAGGAUUUUUUCCUGUAGAAAGGUUACCCAAACAUCAUUUUAUUUCUUCUUACUAAUUAUUUUCCAUAGUUUUAAGAAGCGCCUGGACUUUCAGCUUCAGCACUGAAUUUGCUUUUGCAAAGAAAAGCCUGCCUGAAGGCUAACCUGGAAAAUACAUAUUCAAGAAGCGUACUGCUAAAUGCUUCAGCACUUCUCUUUGUUUUCAAGACCAGAAGGUUGUACAUAAAACACACUUCAGUAUUCACAGCUAAAGCUUCAAUGCUUUUCUAAACAGUGAUGUUUCUGAACUUGGGAUCUAUUGUAAACAGAUAAUCAGAUCAAUCUGAACUCCUGUGUGUCUGCUUGACUGGGGUAACUAUGAAACCAAGGAGACACAUAGAAGGGGAAAACUGAGCAGUCUUUGAAGACCAAACCAAGAAUGAUACAAUGGAGAGAGGUAAAGGCUGAGGAAAGAGUGGGGGGCAUAAGGGCCUUUGUUCCACACCAUGUGCAUGCUAGUCAUUAAAAAUGCAUCCAGCAAUAGGUGGAAUAUUGCUCUUCUGGGGGAUAGAAAUACAAUCCCCUUCAACCUGCUGUAGUGGUUUGUUGGAGGAAUUUUCCAAAGCAGAAGCAACCCGAAUCUUCCCCAGUCCAGCUGGGCAGAGCAGGACUCCUGGCAGGAACAUGCUGACAACCUCAAGGGCAGGUCUGCAGGAGGAAGCAGUGCAUGGAGCUGCCAUUGCUGCUGAGCAUCAAGGGGGGGAUUCUUUAAGGCAGCUUUAGGUUACGAACAUGAAAAUGGAGCACUCCAGACUCUCCGCCAUCUGAACGCAGCUGAUGGUGGAUGCUCAUUUCUAACGUUUCUCACCAGAGUGAGUACUGCUUUCGUUUCUCACACUAGACUAGUCACUUGGCCAGGCUGCACUCCAGCGUUUAAGGUGUUAGUCACACUGCCUUGUGGGGACUCACAGUCUGUAGUCUGGCUUAUGGUGACCUUUAUGACUGGCACAGUCUUCAUCGUGAUAGAAAAGACUGAUGUAGAGGCAUUUCACAUCAUUAUUUUUAGUGCGAGGCAAUGGAAUAGUUGGAGGAGAACUAAGGUGUGAGUAGAGUGGCAUUUAUUGUCCCCUGUGGAUGAAUGCAGUGAUUUGUUGUACGGUUUAUUUCUUUUUUUUUUAAAGGACAAGGACAAAAUAGUUGGCUGGGUAGGUAGCUGAGAGGUGGUAAGUGCUCUGCUUAAGGUGGAGUAGUCAGAAUAGAUGCAUCAAGGAUGAAAUUUCUCACACUAAGGGUUUUCCCAGCAUUCUCCUUUCUCAGAUCAGGGAUAAGCCACUGACAUCACAAAGCCUUCUACAAGUUUCAUGUUUGUUAAGCUCAAUAUGGAAGAUGCUCAAAUAGCAGCACACAGCUAUUAAAACCCAGCAGGAGAGCCCAGCCUGCAGGGAGUUUCCCACACACACAGUGCUGACCUAGGAGCUGGAAGAUCUCUGCUCCCAUGAGGACCACCAGUUGCACAAACUGCAUUUUUCAUGGAGACUGGUCUCACCAUGCAGCCUCCUCCCCUUGCCCUGUCAGAAAUAAGUGAAAGGGAUCAAUAUUUCUUCAUUCUGAUUUUGCCAUUUGCCAUCCUUUCUGGUAAUUUCUGACAUCUUUCCAUCUUCCAAACUGUCUCUCCUUUCUACAAACAUUGUCAGCCUUCCAAAACAUUUCCCAGAUAUUACACGAGCUGCAUCAACAGCCCCCAGCAGAGCGUGGCAUGCAGCAGUGCAAUGCUGUUAGCAGAUGGGUACCGCUCCUCACAGUGACCCCAAAUAGCAACACCUGUCUGCUCAGCAGAAACUGUGAUUUAUGGGGAGGUCUUCCCUUCUGCGAAGGGUUAACCUGCUACUCAGGCUGCCAGGCUGACCCUCAGUGAAAAUUAAUAGCUUGCAUCUGUUUAAUAUUCCUUUCCAGUACAUUGCCAAAUCAUUUCAUCUGUAUUUAAAUGGAUCAGUGCUUUUCAUCGUCAGUUGUUUCCUCAUUCCUCUUUGUUUUUUUGCUAAUCCUUUCCCAUUCACAGGUGUUUGUGAAAUCAUAAAAGAAAGUCGUUCAUUGUUUUUAUUUCAUAAGGCUCCUAUAAAUUUGGAGGUAAGGGAUGUGCGCCGUUUCAACAGCUCUGUGCUUUGCUCCAGUUAGAAGGGUGGUUCACAUCUGUAGAUUUUAUAGGUGACAUUAUUGACAUGGCAAUGUCAUCACUUGCAACUAAUCAAAAUGUGCCAGAUUAGACCCAGAUUUCCUAAAUGCUUGUAUUGGUAUUAUUUGUCAUGCAAGGCAUUAAUUUAAAGCUGAUGCAUCUGUUACAAUCAUUGAUGCUCUAGAUGGAAAAGAUCCAUAGGGAGGCUUUCAGCUUUCCAUUUAGUGCCAAAGCGGAACUGAACUCUAUCAGAUGUAUGAUUAUUGUCAUUAUUAUUUAAUACCCCUCUCUGCCUCUGCUGUGUGCUCAUCACUUAAUGGAAAACAUGAGUGCAGGCGCUGUCUCAGAUUGCUUGCCUUCCCAGUGACAGACCAGGCACCCAAGUGACAAUAAAACAAGCACCAUGAAGAAAAGGGCUGAGGAUCUCUUGGCAUGGCUGCCCAAGAGAGACAGACCAGUGCCUUGGUGGGCACGGUGGGAUUUUUGGUCUGGUUUGGCUUCUGAAGUGGAGAUGGCAUGAACAAAUGUGUUCAAAGAGGGUGUUUGCGCAUUAAGACUUUACUAGCAUCAAGACCGAGACACAAUAGGAAGACAGAGGUUUAAUGUAAUAUAAUGUGGAUGCUUAAUAACAGAGAUAAUUGACCAUCAAAGGGAUGUGCUUUUUCUGUUGCACUUUGCAGCAUUCAGUGUGCAGGUUAAAGAACUGCAGAGAGAUGAAUUUUCCAAGAAAACCUUACAUAUAUUAACCUUGGGCAAAGGCAGGGAAUAUUCUUUGUGCUUCCAGAUGACUCUUGGAUCUCCACAAUGGUCACAUUCAUCAUCUAGAUGAGCUGUCCUCGGGAGAGCACAUUUUGAAGUUGUUUAGAUCUUAAUGAGUCAUCUAUGAAUUACCAAAUAUUUCACGUUCUAUGUGGAGUGCCCUCGAUACAACCAUCAGCUGGGAUGGCUGAAAAUAUUGUAAAUAAUCUCCUCGGUUUAAUGAGCUAUCAUACAAGGAGAGGCUAGAUAGGAGUCACAGCUUCACUUCGUGAUAGAUCAGCCCAGGCAUUUGAUUUACUGUGGGGACUACUUCUACUAAAACUAAUCAGAGGCUAUCGAGGAAACCCAAACAGAUCCAACCUACCAGAAUUUAAUCUCCCCACAAAUAAAACGUACUCAUAAAUCAGGGCAAGCAUGUAAAUGUGCUCCUCUAAUGCUUCUAUUAGGGAAAACAGAACCACAAAAAGCUCAGUAGGAUGUGAAAACUAUUAUGGUUUCCCUGGGUGAUGUCAGCAGUAUUAGACUAAUUCAUAAUACACAAGGAGCUAUAAGAUCCUUCUGCCCUUACAGCUGGCUAAUUAGGCGAGAUGAGGAAAGCAAUCUGACAAAAACGUUGAUGUCUCGGAUUUCAUUCUGAAGCUUAAAAUGGACAUGUUUUUAUAUUAUUCAUUGAAUUUCUCAGAUAAACAGAGAGAAAAGAGAGAUAAAAGGUACGAAAGUCAUCAUCGUGGUUUUUCCUUACUGAAGGAAUUCUGACAGAAAAUCAAGUAAACAAAAUAUACUGCUUUUGGUUAAAAAAAAUGCAUACAAAGCUGAAUUUCACAGAAAUAAGCAAAUUUAUUGCGAGGAAAGCAUUUGUCACUAAAAACGACAGUGAGGAAAAUAUGCAAUAAAUACUUUGAUCAGAUCUGGUAAUGAGCUAUUCUGGCAAACUGCAGCAUUAGUUCAUUGACAGCCUGUUCAGCUUGAUCAGGAAAAAGCGUGUUGAGGUAACUGCAGGAGUGCAGUGAAAAUCACACUCUCGAAUGAUCAUUGUCACAUCACGUUGUCCAGGUGGUGAAUGAAUAUCCACAGAGAGGAGAGUGGAGACUCACUUUGUACUUGGGAGAGUGGUACCUCUAGAACUUCAAUCCUCAACAGGUCAGUCCAGCACUGCCGCAGUUUAUAUAAGAAAACAAGAUUGAAUGUUACCAGAGAUGUGUUUUUUUUUUUAAAGAGAAGAAGUGCAGCUUCACUGCUCUGAUUCAGAACUGUGAUUUUCCUGUGGUGCUAAGAGAGAAAAGAAUCAAGACCUUCUGCUUGUCAGAAGAUUAAUGAUGUACAUCCAUAUGGAGGAAGUUACACCAGAAAGUUUUGUAUAAAUAUACUGGUUGAUGAUGUUUUUUAUUGUCUAAAGAUGUUAUUCUGCAUUUUGCUUCAGUGUGAUGCAUAGAGACUAUUAAUAACAGCAAAUGAUUGCAUUUAAGACAAAAAUUGAAGGAAAUAAUUUAUAACAAAAUCUACAUGAAAGCCAUCUCUCAGUUUCCGCAUAUUGGCCAUAAAUCAUUCAGGAGACACUUAUGAUUGAUUUACAAGAAGAUUUUUGUAUUACCAUAGAUAUAUAAGCUGCCUGCUGAACAACUGUCCUUCAUCCAUAAUCAAACAUAUCCUCAGUAAUUGAUAGUUUUCAGAAAACAGACUUUGAAAGCCAGAAAGGAAGCUGAGAUAGAGCUGUGAUGGUUGACAGUGGAUGAUAUUUACAAGUUACAAUGCCAUUUAUUCACAAAUCUUCUGUGCAGACCAGAAGAAAUUAGUGGUUUGGGUUAAAGGACAACGUGGGAGUUGGCUCUCUCUCAAUGCAGACACACUGCUGAGUGCUCACCUGCAGGUCACUCUACCUGAACAACAAAUACACAUAUAACUAGGACUUUCAGGGUGUUUUCUGUAACCCAAUUAUUUUCUUUUUAAAAUAGCAAUAAAAAGUGGAGCAGGAAUAUAACUGAUAAUAACCUGUCAGACUUCUCCUCUCUCUUUUGCCUCUCUUCAUUUUACUCUAUUUUCUCCAUGCUUGAUAAAUGCUCUAGAGUAUAGAACCAGAUUCAGACUCUUUCCUGCUUUACUGAAGCACCACCAAUUGGCUUUGGCUUGCUUUAGUUAUUUGACCUUUCCUUGGUUGCUAUGUUCUAUAUUGGAGGUCAUUGCAAGAGCAAGUGAGUUCUCUUUAUAUUCCACUGGCUUAUACAAGUUCCAAUGAGGUCAGAAACCCCAGUCUCCUCUACAUUCCUCUAUCCUGCAUUUUUAUCAUUGUUUCAGAGUGAUGACACUCCUCCAUAGCAAAUGGGGUAAUGAUCCUUCAGAAGAGGAAGUUCCACUUGGGCACUAAAGACAAAAAAGAUGCAGGAAGAUUAAGAUGAUUUUUGGACACCUACAGCUCUAUAAGAAGUGUGCAGCCAGUCUGUCAUAGUGCCUUCAGUAAAGGCCUUCUUGCAUUUAAUAUGUUUAUAUCAGAUGGACGCUGCCUUAAAUGCCAUUUAGUACACUCAGACAUUAUUUAUUACAACAGGGUGUUGGAGGCAGUUUGGUUUCACAUGGUUUCACAGACCCAGGGAAAUAAAGGGAUUCUUCUGUCUCUAGCAGCUGAUUCAAUAAAGCACAGUGAGGGCUAAUCUACUCUCUAGAAUAAAAUAAGUGACAAAAAUUACCCAACUCCUUUCCCAGGGUUUCCACUUGCUUCCCUUAGGCUGUUUGUGAACCUUCUGAUGAUAAAAGGCUGUCAAGAUUGCUGCAAGCCAAUUACUACAAGCUCUUAUGGUAGAAUACGAGACAAAAGAAAAAAAAUGUAAUUUUGACAAAAGUACUCCUUAUAUUCUCGAGUUGGUGACACUUUUCAAAGCCACAUCAUUGCUUAUUAAUGUGAACCUGGAAAAUGACCAUUCAGCUCCAGUCAAAAAGAUGGCGACUGACCUUAUGGUACCUGAAUGCAUGGGUAUAGCUAAGGUGACAAAAGGGUGUUCUUUUACUUCAAGGGAGCUCAACUGAAAUUACAUAAGUAUAUAAGGUAACACCCAAGAAGACUGCUAGAUGCUGCUGUUGAACUGACCUGGCGUUAUGGAGAAGUUGCUUGGGUGAGAGAACUCAGUUGUGGCCAAAAAAGGAUGCAACGCAAAGGUUGGUCUGUGCAAGUUGCUUUCAUUUAGAGAAGCUGUCAUGCAACAUCAUGACAGGCACUGUCAAAGCAGUUCCUCCUUUUUCUAUCUGUACUGUUCCUAUUUUGUCUUUGUUAAUUGUUUCAUCUCACGGAUAAAAGAGGAUAUAUUAAAAAUUAUCUUCUGUUCUGUUCUAGCUUAAAACUGUCCCGUGCAGAUCCUUACUUGAGCAUGACAGAAUGUCCUGCACAGUGGUGUAUGGCAGGCCUUACAUCUGUGACUACAGUGUGUGUUGCAGACUCUAGUACUCCAGCUCAGAGCAAAAAUCACAUGAGUGUGUCAUUUCUACUGGCAAUAUCCAGGCUAAUCCAGCAAAGCCCUAGGACAGGAUGCUACCAGGUCAGAAAUGUUAAGAAAAUCUAUUCUGCAAGGAGAUUUGGCUGUAAUUUAAAACAAACUAACAAAAACAAAGCCAAAACAACUCAGAGUGCAGUGUUUUGAGACAGGUUCAUGCUGUACAUAACAUCCAGGGGGAAAAAAAAAUGACUGUGUUGAGUAAAGGAAGCAUGAAUGGCAAAUUGAAAGCAUCCACACAAAAGUGCAAAAUCCACAGAGGAUAUCAGCAAGGACAGUAAAUAAAAGGCUCGACAGGAAGCCAGUCUGUGCACACAUGGCUAGAUUUCAAGAUGCAUUGAGUAUCUCUAUAAAUAAUUUCUUUAUUAGGGAGCCAAUGUGAUUUACAAGUAUUGGAUCCUUCAAAUUAUUAUCCAGUAAGAAGUGUAGAAGGCACAACUGGUUAGUGUCUGCUUGGAACUCCAGUUGCUUUCAGAGUACUUACAGCCUGCAUGGUUCAAAGCACUUUAUUUGCACAGAAAGCGCUGGUGCUUUCUGCUAUUAAAGGAAGUUACUUAUGAGGUGGAAAGUGGUUGUUGUUUGACAGCAUCCAGCACACAGAAAGAACCACGUUGUGCCCAGUCAACAAAGCAAACAAACACUGAAAGAAAAAUAAGCAGCUAAAAUGAAAUGCUGGGGAUGAACUUGGGGCUGACACUCUAAGACCAAUGCUCAGAGCAGGGCAGAAGUAUCAUUGGUAGCUGUGAACUCCUAUAUUUCUUAAUUAUGUUAUUUAAUUGCCUAAAUAGAAAAAUAUUCUAGAAUUAGAGCUUCAAAAUCUCACCCUUGCAAAGUCGGACAAUUUUUUGUAUUAAGUGACACCUUCUAGUUUGGACAAUCACUUCCUUGAGAGAUGCUCACAAACAGUCACCAAGGUGGCAGUCUGUUGUCCAGUAUGUUCAUUCAGUUUCUGAUUCUGCGGAUUAACUUUCAGCAUCAGGCUGAUGUCAAUAUUUGCAGGUACUCCACAAUUACAGUAUGUCUGCUAAAUCACAUUGCUUUAAUCCAAAAGAUUUUACACUAGAAAAUUACAGAAUAGAAUUUCAAGACAUUUUGGCGGCCACCUUGCUGUUCUGCAUUUAUUUAUGUGUUCUUCCAUGCUCUUUGACCGCAUCUGACAUUAUUCCUCACUUCCUCUGCAUGCAAGACUUCCUUCAGGCAAAUGCAUGAAGUAGAACUGACCAGCAGUGCCAAUUUGAUGCUGGGGAGAUGCAAUUUAUGCUACAUGUAAUCCAUUUUGGCACUGCACGAACCUUAAACCCUGUUUAAGGCUGCAGCACUGCUUCGUGUUGGAGUUUUUUAAUGUAAACCACAGGGCUGAUACGUCUGUGAGACCACCAUCUUCUCCUCCAUUACUGUGAACAGGAGAAGAAAAAACACCCAAUGAACUAAAGCAAAGGAAUGCUUUAGGAUGGUAACAGAUCAAGAAAACUCCAGCUGCUAAGGUUACCCAAAGGUGAAAGUUGACAGAAGCCCACGAGGACUCAGCAUGGAGACAUCCAGCAAACAAGAUGUAAUAAGACUGUCUCAGGGGAGCCGACAUGAUUAAGAUUGUGGUGUCCGACCUUAUCUCUGACAGCACGUUGCCUCCCAGCUACAAAUGUUCAAGUGUUUAUAAACAUCUGACAGAGUAACUGCAAGAAAUGUAAUGCAGCUCAUCACGGGGGGAAAAGAUGGUCGUGGAAAUAGCUGAGAAUUGUGUUGGCAGAACUAUUGAGCCCUAAGGAAAAGGGGCUAUUUUAGUUACAAAGUCCUUUCUAUGCUAAUGAUAAUCCACAUACAUCAACAUUCUGCACAUUCGCUGGGUCAAUUUAGACCAGAAAAACUGUUUGGGUAUGACAAUAAUUAACUAUUAAAUCCAAAUAGUUCACUCAUCCAUUCCUGAAGCGCUCUAUUGAAAUCUCUCAGGAAUGUGCUAUGUUAAAAGUCUGCAGGAGACGAGCUCAGGUCUGCUGAGCUCACCUGGCUGGAGACACAAGACCUUCAUCCUUUCUUCCAGCAAAGCAACACAGGAGGAGAUUGUUCUGAAGGAAAUUAGUGCAAGUGUAUAAAAUAAAGAAGAGAAAAAAACAAACCAAGCAUUCUGUCUCCUCUGGACAGCAAUUUAAGUGCUAAUUGUAUUCUGCUGCAAUAAACUAACCAGCCAGAUGUUUCAGAUAAUUAGUAUUAAAGUUAGAUUUUUAUAGCAGCUGUUUUCUUUCUGCCAGACAAGCAAUGUAUCUGCUUCCUGGGCAAAGUCUUCCAACAGGAUGUCUAAGACGUGACUGUGAUGUGUGAUAGCACUUGUUAAACCAUCCAGCUUGAGUCAUGGUAAGCGUGGUAGCACAUGCAGCAGCUCACUUGGGUUUCCAGGUAUGCACUCGGUGGGUUAUGUGUGUCUUCCCACAGCUUUGCUGCCUUUAGAACUCAGGCUGGCUCUGUCUCCAAAAGCUGAUUGGCAAGACCAGCAAACUCCAAACCUUUCUUUUUGCAGGGAACUGCACAAAUUCUGUUGACAUAAUUCUAAGUCCUCAAGUGUUCUAAGAUACACUGUUCCUCUUAAACCUAUUGGGCUAUCUGUCCUGUUUAUAACAUACCGUAGGGUCAAUCUGGAGCAAAGCGCAUCUUAUAGAAUCAUAGAAUCUAACUACAGGAAUAGAAUUAGUGUCCAGAUCUCUCUAUCUAGGGAACUUCCCAGACUUUGAUGUGACUCAGGUGUGCCUGAGAAGUUGCAGCAAGGCAAAGUUCAGCAUGGGAGGGAGAUGUUGGCAGCUGAUGAGCAAAGGGCAACAGCUGAUUGUGCCAGGUCUCUCGUGUGCCCGUCAAGCACUGGUUUGCAGUUCUGGGCUUGGGUAAAGGUUCACCAUUAAUUGUCAGCCUUAUGGUUAUUGGGAGUGCCCCUAUAAAAGAAGAGCAAAAUGGAAAUCUCUGGACAGUGACCAUGUUUUGGAAGGAGACACUCAAAAGUUCCUUUAUAAUGUCAGUGCUUUUGAUUUCCCAGAGUGAUUGGUGAUGAGUAACUUCUGCUGGGAGGAACUAGGAUGCUCCUGACUUCC